GACGAACGCUGGCGGCGUGCUUAACACAUGCAAGUCGAACGGAAAGGCCCUGCUUUUGUGGGGUGCUCGAGUGGGGAACGGGUGUGUAACACGGGAGUAACCCGCCCUUGACUUUGGGAUAACUUCAGGAAACUGGGGCUAAUACCGGAUAGGAGCUCCUGCUGCAUGGUGGGGGUUGGAAAGUUUCGGCGGUUGGGGGUGGACUUGCGGGUUACCAGCUUGUUGGUGGGGGAGUGGCUUACCAAGGCUUUGGUGGAUAGCCGGCCUGAGAGGGGGACCGGCCACAUGAGGACUGAGGUACGGCCCAGACGCCUACGGGAGGCAGCAGUGGAGAAUAUGGCACAGUGGGCGGGAGCCUGAUGCGGCGGCGCCGCGUGCGGAAUGACGGCCUUCGGGUUGUAAACCGCUUUCGCCUGUGACGAAGCGGGAGUGACGGUAAUGAGUAAAGAAGCACCGGCUAACUACGUG
This 468-nucleotide ribosomal RNA is filed under the name uncultured bacterium. Its description in RNAcentral is "partial 16S ribosomal RNA". It matches the Rfam family "Bacterial small subunit ribosomal RNA", at positions 28 to 507 of the family's 1533-position model. The record is from RNAcentral.